ACUGCAAAUGGCUCAUUAAAACAGUUAUUGUUUACUUGAUAAUAAUUUUUACAUGGAUAACCGUGGUAAUUCUACAGCUAAUACAUGAGCAAAAUCUCAACUUUAUUAGAAGAGACGCAUUUAUUAGAUAAAAAGCCAGUUCAUGCUUUUACAGUAUGAAAAUUGGUGAUUUAUAAUAACUUAGCAAAUCGCAAAGUGAAAACAGGCGAUAAAUCAUUCAAGUUUCUGACCUAUCAGCUUUCGACGGUAUGGUAUUGGCUUACCGUGGCAGUGACGGUUAACGGGGGAUUAGGGUUCGAUUCCGGAGAGGGAGCCUGAGAAACGGCUACCACAUCUAAGGAAGGCAGCAGGCGCGCAAAUUACCCAAUUCUAACAGUUUGAGAGAGGUAGUAACAAGAAAUAACAAUACAAGGCAGUUAAAAUGCUUUGUAAUUGGAAUGAUAGAAAUUUAAACCCUUUUUAAAGUAUCAAUUGGAGGGCAAGUCUGGUGCCAGCAGCCGCGGUAAUUCCAGCUCCAAUAGCGUAUAUUAAAAUUGUUGCAGUUAAAAAGCUCGUAGUUGAAGUUCUGCUGAAAGUAACCGGUCUGCUUUUAAUAAAAGUGGUAUCUUGGUAUGUAUUUAGCAAUGAUGUCCUUUGAAGUGUUUUU
This 646-nucleotide ribosomal RNA is filed under the name Hepatozoon sp. RNAcentral's name for it is "SSU rRNA". It matches the Rfam family "Eukaryotic small subunit ribosomal RNA", at positions 86 to 722 of the family's 1831-position model. The record is from RNAcentral. Lineage: Eukaryota; Apicomplexa; Hepatozoidae.